RNAcentral lists this ribosomal RNA (495 nucleotides) under uncultured bacterium. RNAcentral's name for it is "partial 16S ribosomal RNA". It matches the Rfam family "Bacterial small subunit ribosomal RNA", at positions 28 to 507 of the family's 1533-position model. The record is from RNAcentral.
GACGAACGCUGGCGGCGUGCCUAAUACAUGCAAGUCGAACGGUGAAGCAGGAGCUUGCUUCUCUGGAUGAGUUGCGAACGGGUGAGUAACGCGUAGGUAACCUGCCCUGCAGUGGGGGAUAAGUAUUGGAAACGAUAGCUAAUACCGCAUAAUAGUAGAUGUCGCAUGACAUUUGCUUAAAAUUUGCAAUUUCAUCACUACCAGAUGCCCCUGCGUUGUAUUAGCUAGUUGGGGAGGUAACGGCACACCAAGGCAACGGUACAUAGGCGACCUGAGAGGGAGGUCGGCCACACUGGGACUGGGGAACGGCCCAGAAUCCUACGGGAGGCAGCAGUAGGGAAUCUUCGGCCAUGGAGGGAAGGCUGACCGAGCAACGCCGCGUGAGUGGAGAAGGGUCUCGGGUCGGAAAGCUCUGUUGUAAGGGAAGAAAGAGUGUGAGAGUGGAAAGUUCACACUGUGAUGGUAUCUUACGAGAAAGGGACGGCUAACUACGUG